This 253-nucleotide ribosomal RNA is filed under the name uncultured bacterium. Its description in RNAcentral is "partial 16S ribosomal RNA". It matches the Rfam family "Bacterial small subunit ribosomal RNA", at positions 524 to 776 of the family's 1533-position model. The record is from RNAcentral.
UACGUAGGGGGCAAGCGUUGUCCGGAUUUAUUGGGCGUAAAGAGCGUGUAGGCGGCCAGGUAGGUCAGCUGUGAAAACUCGAGGCUCAACCUCGAGACGUCGGUUGAAACCACCUGGCUAGAGUCCGGAAGAGGAGAAUGGAAUUCCCGGUGUAGCGGUGAAAUGCGCAGAUAUCGGGAAGAACACCCGUGGCGAAGGCGGUUCUCUGGGACGGUACUGACGCUGAGACGCGAAAGCGUGGGGAGCGAACAGG